UUGGAGCUCUGUUUGAGUAGAGGCUACAUGACUAAAUCUAACCCACUGCUUCACAAAGUAGGUUCCAUGGAACAUGCAUAUCCUGAGGUGCUCAGAAAACUUCAAAAAAGGUUACGGCCAAACAAAUUUCAGAGAUGCAUAUUUGCUUUUCCAGCUCUGUCUUCUUCGUCUAAUGAGACCACGGUUUCACUAGGGACCACAUGAGGGAAGAGAACAAGUUGACCCUGGCGCACUGGAGGACAUGAAGCAAUCCAGGCAGCAGACAUGUGCGUUACAUCUGGGUUACAUAGGUAAUGAAAAAGGAACUAGGUAAUGAAAGAAUAACAGAUGUUUGUUUCUAAGGUCUUUAUAAGUACUUCUCCUCAACAAGACAAUGAUGAUAGUUAUGACUCAUAGGUUCAUGUGCCAACCUCCCCCAGGAGGGGAGAUUUCUUUAAUGAUGGCACCUAUGUCACAGUUACAUUUGCCGCUGCAACCAGCUUUUUCUUUUCCACAUAGAAACUCAUAGUGAUGCCCUACUUUAUAUGGGAAAAAAAGAGAUGGUCUGUCAGUUUUAUUCCAGAAAUUUUAAAAUGUAUGAUGGAUCAAGAAUUGUCCACUUAUUGCAAACUGAGUUCUACUUUGUGUAGAAAGUACAAUACAUCGAUGUACUGGCCCUAUUAGUUGAAGAAUACAGAUGUUAUUCAUUAUGUAGAUGCUUAUGAAUAAUAUCUAAGCCAAUACUUAUGAGUUCAAUAUUCCUUUCCUUGCCCGCUCAAUUUACUUUCUUUCCAAAGAUAAUGUUAUUAUUUAACACACACUUUUAGUUCACCUGUGAAUUUAUGUAUGUAUGUAUGUAUGCAUGUAUUUCUGUGUAUAUGUGUGCAUUUCCUGUCCCAUUCAAAAUGACUGGAGAGGUUUCGAGAGAGCCCUUUAAGCACAUUCAUUUUUUUCUCAGGAAUAAAUUUAUGAAGACAUUGGAGUGAAGAGAAAAUAACUGUUUAACGAGCUGCAAGUUAGGAAAACAAAUUCUUCUAGAAGUCCUUCUGUUGUACUGCACACAACUGAAUUCUAAAAUUCAUCUUCCUUUAAACUCUAAACAAGAACAAUAUUAAGACUAAAUUGCAGAUAAGCCCUACAAAGUGAAAUCUCAUAUUAGGAUAAUGUAUGGACUUAGAGAAGAAGAGGAAGAGCAAAGUAUUUUCUUAAACUGAAUUAGCUAGUAAUGAAAACAACCUUAAAUAUUACUACUACUGUUUCUACUUCUUCUACCACUACUAACAGUAUUAGCAGUGAUCAUUUACUGUGUGCCAGGCAUGAAACUCAAUCCCUACAUGUAUUAUCACACAUAAAUAUCACAACAGUCCCCUUAGCCUCAUCGUACAUAUGGAAAAAUGACACAAAGUAUAUGAGGUCAAAUGCUAUAGCAUAAAUAGGCUCAUUCUGCUACCCCUACAGUUCUAAAAUUAUUUCACAAUUCUAGCAAAGACAUAUUAGAGUUAGUAGGACAGUGUUUCCUUGGGGACUUGGACUGUAAUUUUUUUUAGUAUUUCUCCUAGUCCUUUGCAUAAUCAGACCCUUAAGAAAUGUUUAUUUAUUUCACUGAUUUUUAGCAGUCUUUGAAACCACUCACUUUUUUAAAAAGUAGGCAUAGAAAAUCUUGUAUUUCCUGUGUGCUUAGUUUAAUCAAAAUCCAAGCAACGUUUGAAUAUCUACCACGUAUCAGGUACGGUGCUGGCCAUGGAAGGGCAGAUGAAGAUGCCUAAGGCACGGUCCUUCCCAUCAAGAAGAUCAUAGUUACAAUAAGUCAAUCUAAUCUUCUAUUCAAAGCAUUGUUAAUUCAUCAGCAUCAUCAACACUACCUGGGAGUUUGCUAUACAUGCAGAAUCUCACACUCCAUGACAGAGUUCCUGAAACUACAUUUUAACAAGAUCCCUACGUGUUUCAUGUGCACAUUGAAAAGUUGGAGAAGCACUCUUCUAGCGCACUCAUGAGGCAUAAAGUAGCUUAAACUAAUUAACAAAAUUAACUAAUCUUUACCUCUAUUUGGCAGUGAAGCCAAGUGUAACCCCAAAAGGAGAAUUAGGCCCAGAGAUUUUGCAGCACAUGGUGGUCACAGCAGCCUGAAGAACCAGAGAGGGAAAAGCAGCAGGAAGCAAAAGGGAUAGAGAAGCAGAGAUGUGUCAUAUUUAGAAGUCUGGCAAUUAGCUCCUGUCACAUUUAGAAGCCUGUGAUUCGCAACCUGAACAUGCUCGUUACAGAAAAGGAGAGAGAGAAAGCAAAUAAAGUGAGAGAGGACACAAGCGAUCUGCAGACCGGUGGAACAAAACAAGAAGGGGAGUGCUGGGCUGUGACAGGUGUGGAUGGCAGAAACUCAAGUCUGAGCAGUCUGUCCCCUUAACAACUUGAUGAUACUGUUGAAAUUGGUCCAGUGGACAGUGAUUGUCAACUGCGCUCCAGGUCAUGGAUUUAAGUGGUAGUAGCGGGAAUGGAAAGAAAUGUCGAAUGUGAGAUGUGCUGCGAAGGAAGAUCAAAAAGAAGGGGAGAUUGUAUUUGACGUGAAGAAUGGAGGAGGGGAAUGGAGUCAAGAUUCCAUCUUGCAUGUGAAGAAGAGGAUCCAGGGACUUAAGAGAAGUCAUGAGGGGUGUAAGUCAAAGCACCAGUUGGAAUUUUUCUCGGAGAGAUACGGCAGUAGUCAGAAAAGCUGAGGCUGGUGCUAGGAGAGCUAAAGCUAACAUAAGCUAAGAGAAUGAGGUAAGGGUAGUAGAAUGAGUUGUAUAAUCAGUAGCUAUAAAAGGUCAUAUAAACUGAGUAUGUUUACAGUAAGAAGUUCAAGAAGCUAACAAGUCUUUGAACAGGGUUUUGAAUCAUGAUAUGCCUUUGAGGACAUGCCUGGAAGUUUUCCAACCCUUUGAUUCUAUGAUUCUAAGACUUUGUGGAGAAGCAUACUCUCAAUUUUUUUUUAUUUGGAGUUCUGAAUAAAUGGAAAAUGCGAGUCGAAGGCUGCUAUUUCUAUUCACGUAUUUGUGUGUGUGUGUGUGCGUACACACCCGUGUGCAAUAACAUACCACCCACCUGAGAAAAUCCUUGAAGAGAUCCUGACAACAUCUCUCUUCCAUAGAUUUACUGCAAUUUUCUCUAAUCCUCAGAUGAUAGGUAAAUAGGCUCCCU
This is a long non-coding RNA of Orcinus orca (killer whale), 3150 nucleotides long. RefSeq lists it as uncharacterized. Lineage: Eukaryota; Metazoa; Chordata; Mammalia; Artiodactyla; Delphinidae. The record is from RefSeq and is a predicted model, not a curated record. The transcript has 5 exons.